This 1163-nucleotide ribosomal RNA is filed under the name uncultured Bacteroides sp. RNAcentral describes it as "bacterial SSU rRNA". It matches the Rfam family "Bacterial small subunit ribosomal RNA", at positions 14 to 1176 of the family's 1533-position model. The record is from RNAcentral. Lineage: Bacteria; Pseudomonadati; Bacteroidota; Bacteroidia; Bacteroidales; Bacteroidaceae.
UGAUCCUGGCUCAGGAUGAACGCUAGCUACAGGCUUAACACAUGCAAGUCGAGGGGCAGCAUUGGAGUAGCAAUACUUCAGAUGGCGACCGGCGCACGGGUGAGUAACACGUAUCCAACCUGCCGCUUACUCGGGGAUAGCCUUUCGAAAGAAAGAUUAAUACCCGAUGGUAUAAAGAGUUCGCAUGUUCUCUUUAUUAAAGAAUUUCGGUAAGCGAUGGGGAUGCGUUCCAUUAGAUUGUUGGCGGGGUAACGGCCCACCAAGUCUACGAUGGAUAGGGGUUCUGAGAGGAAGGUCCCCCACAUUGGAACUGAGACACGGUCCAAAUCCUACGGGAGGCAGCAGUGAGGAAUAUUGGUCAAUGGACGAGAGUCUGAACCAGCCAAGUAGCGUGAAGGAUGACUGCCCUAUGGGUUGUAAACUUCUUUUAUAAGGGAAUAAAGUGAGGGACGUGUCCCUUUUUGUAUGUACCUUAUGAAUAAGGAUCGGCUAACUCCGUGCCAGCAGCCGCGGUAAUACGGAGGAUCCAAGCGUUAUCCGGAUUUAUUGGGUUUAAAGGGAGCGUAGGUUGACAUAUAAGUCAGCUGUGAAAGUUUACGGCUCAACCGUGAAAUUGCAGUUGAUACUGUAUGUCUUGAGUGUACAAGAGGUGGGCGGAAUUCGUGGUGUAGCGGUGAAAUGCUUAGAUAUCACGAAGAACUCCAAUUGCGAAGGCAGCUCACUGGGGUACAACUGACACUGAGGCUCGAAAGUGUGGGUAUCAAACAGGAUUAGAUACCCUGGUAGUCCACACAGUAAACGAUGAAUACUCGCUGUUUGCGAUAUACAGUAAGCGGCCAAGCGAAAGCAUUAAGUAUUCCACCUGGGGAGUACGCCGGCAACGGUGAAACUCAAAGGAAUUGGCGGGGGCCCGCACAAGCGGAGGAACAUGUGGUUUAAUUCGAUGAUACGCGAGGAACCUUACCCGGGCUUGAAUUGCAGAGGAACAUAGUUGAAAGAUUAUGGCCGCAAGGUCUCUGUGAAGGUGCUGCAUGGUUGUCGUCAGCUCGUGCCGUGAGGUGUCGGCUUAAGUGCCAUAACGAGCGCAACCCUUAUCAUUAGUUACUAACAGGUCAUGCUGAGGACUCUAGUGAGACUGCCGUCGUAAGAUGUGAGGAAGGUGG